Notothenia coriiceps (black rockcod) is the source of this 1706-nucleotide long non-coding RNA. RefSeq lists it as uncharacterized. The transcript has 4 exons. Lineage: Eukaryota; Metazoa; Chordata; Actinopteri; Perciformes; Nototheniidae. The record is from RefSeq and is a predicted model, not a curated record.
CCUCUCGUCUGCUUGCUCAGGUCAUACAACAUCAAUAAACUGGCUGAACAGGCGGUGGAGGAGGUUCUCAACAUCGGAAAGUCUCAGACAGGUCUUGAUAUCCCGCUGAAUCGUGACUUCAUUGAAAAGGUGACUGAUCUGUACAACGAGUCUCUGGUGUUCAGCCCGGACGACAGACGUAUGUUCUUCAGCAUCAGAGAGCCCAUCGUCAACAGAGUGUUCUCCAGCAGCCGGCAGAGAGGCUUCGCCAGCAAGGUGUCGGUGCGCUCGCGCUGCUGGGACGCCUGCAUGGUGGUCGACGGCGGGACUUCCUUUGAGUUCAACGACGGGGCCAUCGCUACCAUCAGUCUGAGUGAAGAGGACCAGCUGAGGACCGUGGACCUGGAGAACUGAGGGGUCCAGAGCUCUGAUGCUCUCUGAUGCUCACUGUUCAAAGGGAAGCUGUUAGCCUCCAUACCUGAGACACAGGUAUCACUGUUACUAUUGUUCCUCAAAUGUUUGCAUCUUUACCAAUCAAUUGUUCCCAAACUAGAUUACCUUUCCUGAUUUCCCCAACACACUUUCCAGGAUAUAAUGACAAUCUACUUAGUUAAGAAUAUGUCGAGCAACAUUUGAUUAUGUUACUAUAAACUGUCUCAGCUGAGGAAGGGAUAAAAGAUCAGGUAUGAUUAUUAAAUAUAAUUCAUAUCGUUCUGUUAAAACAAUUGUUUGGAUUUGUAUUCCAGAUGACAUUUUGUGAUGUGCUGUUGCUUUAUGACUUUGAAAAGAAUUAUGAAAUAUUCUAUAUUUACGUUUUUUUCAACAAAUCCCAGUUAGUCAGACUCUCACUACGUCCUUUUGUCCCCAGCUGUCCCUCAACCCUGAGUCUCUUACUGACGACAAACAUCUUUAGAAAUGGCUCACAAAUUAAAAAAAUGUAAUGUUUGUGUCUCAAACAAGAAUAAUUGGUUUAUUUGUUGGGGACUAUUUUCAGCGGCGGAUUAAUCCACAUUUGCUGCUCUAGUGAGUAGUUAUUGCUGUGUGUGUGUGUGUGAGAGAGUGAGAGAAUGAGAGUGUGUGAGAGAGAGAGAUUAGAUCUAAAUAAAUGACAGUGUAAAGGUAAUGAACACACACACACACGACCUGUUAUUAGAUCCGCUUGUUGGUCUGCACGUGGGAUUUGUUGAUAAAUGUAGAAUAAGUGGACUUUAAAAGGUCGAGUGUUGCUAAGAUAUAAAGGAUGGGAGUGAACUGAGUGGCUUUUUGUCAACAAAAGAUAUUUUUGGAACAAAGCUUAUAUUUUUUUCUAGAUCGUUUGGGCUUUGAGAGCAGGAGAGUUCAGUUCACUAAAAAAUAAACUCCACGAUUAAAAGGGGGCAUUUUUACUCCAUGUUUUCAGCUCAAAGUGUGUCUGGUUCUCACCUCUCUCAAGACCUGAAAUGCAGCUUUUGGAAAUGCUACUGAAGCAGAAUGUGCCUGAGGUAUUUAAACACUCUCUGAUAUGAACAGAAUCAUGUCACAGCUUAGGAAUGAUUUUAAAUAUUUAAAACAAGUCCUGUUCUCGAUUAAACUCAUUGUUGGUGCACCUUUUUCAGGACUACUUUACAAAGCGGAGGGUAAAGGGUUAAUUUGCAGCGUGCCAAAGGCGGAGUCUGUGUGUCACGAAGUGUUUUUUUUAGUCAGAUAAAGUGGUAUUAAAAAUAAACCUGUGUGCUUGUUGAGCCUCA